RNAcentral lists this ribosomal RNA (451 nucleotides) under uncultured Fibrobacter sp. Its description in RNAcentral is "bacterial SSU rRNA". It matches the Rfam family "Bacterial small subunit ribosomal RNA", at positions 341 to 792 of the family's 1533-position model. Lineage: Bacteria; Pseudomonadati; Fibrobacterota; Fibrobacteria; Fibrobacterales; Fibrobacteraceae. The record is from RNAcentral.
ACGGGAGGCAGCAGUAGGGCAUAUUGCACAAUGGGGGGAACCCUGAUGCAGCAACGCCACGUGUGGGGAGAAGCAUUUCGGUGUGUAAACCACUGUCGUGAGGGAAUAAUGCUUGAUUUCGGUCAAGUUGAAUGUACCUCGAAAGGAAGCAUCGGCAAACUUCGUGCCAGCAGCCGCGGUAAUACGAGGGGUGCAAGCGUUGUUCGGAAUCACUGGGCGUAAAGGGAGCGUAGGCGGAGACGCAAGCAGUCUGUACAAGACCGGGGCCCAACCCCGGACCUGCAGACUGGACUGUGUCUCUUGGAUAGUUCAGGGGCAGGCGGAAUUCCUGGUGUAGCGGUGGAAUGCGUAGAGAUCAGGAAGAACACCGAUGGCGAAGGCAGCCUGCUGGGGACUCAUCGACGCUGAGGCUCGAAAGUGCGGGUAGCAAACAGGAUUAGAUACCCUGGUA